This 460-nucleotide ribosomal RNA is filed under the name uncultured bacterium. RNAcentral describes it as "partial 16S ribosomal RNA". It matches the Rfam family "Bacterial small subunit ribosomal RNA", at positions 338 to 795 of the family's 1533-position model. The record is from RNAcentral.
CCUACGGGAGGCAGCAGUGAGGAAUAUUGGUCAAUGGACGAUAGUCUGAACCAGCCAAGUAGCGUGAAGGAUGACUGCCCUAUGGGUUGUAAACUUCUUUUAUAUGGGAAUAAAACGUUCCACGUGUGGGAUUUUGUAUGUACCAUAUGAAUAAGGAUCGGCUAACUCCGUGCCAGCAGCCGCGGUAAUACGGAGGAUCCGAGCGUUAUCCGGAUUUAUUGGGUUUAAAGGGAGCGUAGGUGGAUUGUUAAGUCAGUUGUGAAAGUUUGCGGCUCAACCGUAAAAUUGCAGUUGAAACUGGCAGUCUUGAGUACAGUAGAGGUGGGCGGAAUUCGUGGUGUAGCGGUGAAAUGCUUAGAUAUCACGAAGAACUCCGAUUGCGAAGGCAGUUCACUGGACUGCAACUGACACUGAGGCUCGAAAGUGUGGGUAUCAAACAGGAUUAGAUACCCGAGUAGUC